GGGGAAUUUUGGACAAUGGGCGCAAGCCUGAUGACGCGACGCCGCGUGGGGGAUGAAGGCCCUUGGGUUGUAAACCCCUUUUGUUCGGGAAGAAAUGCGAUCAGGUGAAUAAUCUGGUCGUUUGACGGUACCGGACGAAUAAGCUCCGGCUAACUCCGUGCCAGCAGCCGCGGUAAUACGUAGGGACCAAGCGUUGUUCGGAUUUACUGGGCGUAAAGGGCGCGUAGGCGGCGUGGUAAGUCACUUGUGAAAUCUCUGAGCUUAACUCAGAACGGCCAAGUGAUACUGCUGUGCUAGAGUGCAGAAGGGGCAAUCGGAAUUCUUGGUGUAGCGGUGAAAUGCGUAGAUAUCAAGAGGAACACCUGAGGUGAAGACGGGUUGCUGGGCUGACACUGACGCUGAGGCGCGAAAGCCAGGGGAGCAAA
This 425-nucleotide ribosomal RNA is filed under the name uncultured bacterium. RNAcentral's name for it is "bacterial SSU rRNA". It matches the Rfam family "Bacterial small subunit ribosomal RNA", at positions 356 to 772 of the family's 1533-position model. The record is from RNAcentral.